AGAUACUGAGACCAACAGAAGAGAGUGCCAGAUAACCAGUGAUCCCUCACUAACCAUAAGAAUCAAAGAAGACACUGAGUUCCUUCUGAGGAAGAAACACACAGUGAGAGUUCAACAACUGUGCUAAGGAUCAUACGGAUACUAUAGAAGAAAGUGAAGAUUGGAAUCCAGGUUUUGAGAUUUGCUAUAUUAUUUCUCCCUUAGACUUUAUAUGUUCAAGCAAUAAAAUAGUCUUUGAAAGAGCUAAA
This is a long non-coding RNA of Peromyscus eremicus (cactus mouse), 248 nucleotides long. RefSeq lists it as uncharacterized. NCBI's taxonomy places the organism in Eukaryota, Metazoa, Chordata, Mammalia, Rodentia, Cricetidae. The record is from RefSeq and is a predicted model, not a curated record. The transcript is spliced from 2 exons.